GACGUAGGGCGCGAGCGUUGUCCGGAUUUAUUGGGCGUAAAGAGCUCGUAGGCGGCUUGUCGCGUCGACUGUGAAAACCCGCGGCUCAACUGUGGGCUUGCAGUCGAUACGGGCAGGCUGGAGUUCGGUAGGGGAGACUGGAAUUCCAGGUGUAGCGGUGAAAUGCGUAGAUAUCUGGAGGAACACCGGUGGCGAAGGCGGCAUCCUGGACCGGUAUUGACGCUGAGGCGCGAAAGCCAGGGGAGCAAACGGG
This 253-nucleotide ribosomal RNA is filed under the name uncultured bacterium. RNAcentral describes it as "partial 16S ribosomal RNA". It matches the Rfam family "Bacterial small subunit ribosomal RNA", at positions 524 to 776 of the family's 1533-position model. The record is from RNAcentral.